RNAcentral lists this long non-coding RNA (414 nucleotides) under Taeniopygia guttata (zebra finch). RNAcentral's name for it is "lncRNA (ENSTGUG00000021060.1)". The record is from RNAcentral. Lineage: Eukaryota; Metazoa; Chordata; Aves; Passeriformes; Estrildidae.
CACUAAUUGCUCAUCUGUACCAUGGAGGAGCAACACGGAGCUCUGAUCCAUCCUCUCCAGCAGCACCUGACAGACCAGCAGGACCAGGACUGGGAAGAGUAGAGGGACCACAGUAUUUACAGAGGCCCUGGGGGCUGUGACCAGCACCGUGGAGGUUGGUUUGCUAAGCGAAUACUGAGCUGAUGGAAAAUGUCCUUGUCCCAGGAAUUUGCAAUCCAAAUGAAAUGAAGAUUUCAUACUGGAGCCUCCUUUUGCAGAGAGAGGAUUGUCCAGAGAUGUUCACUCGUCACUCAAAUGGUUCUACAGGAAAAAAUAGCCAGACCAUGCUCUGAAACUUUCCUCUCUGAGUAUUCAAGUGCUCCAUUAUUUCUGGGAACAUGUAGAACACCAGACACUGAAUAAACAUGAUUAUGU